AAGAAAGUUGUUGUAAUCUCUCUCAUUCGGGGUUUGAAAAAAAUUCUUGAAAUUUCAAUUGUCUAUUUGAGUUAUAUAUAUGGUAGAUCUAGAAAUUUCUGGUCUUUUACUUCUCCAAAAAAACAAAAAAACCCCAAAUCCAGCAAAAACUUAAAAACCAAAAGCUCCAUAACUCUGUCUUCUUCCUCUUCCAAGUUCACUCGUAUCAUCAUGAAACACCAUGCAAAGAAAAACCUAAAUUCUCAUCUGGGUCUUUAAUCUCUAAAUUCUUCCAACUUUUAAUCUCUCUACCACUGAUCAAGUUUGGUGUUGAGGGGAGAGAUUGGUAAAGUGGCUGUGGCGAUGGAGCGACGGUGGUAGUAUUUGAGAGAGCAACAUCAAUUAAAAAUUAAAUUGUAAUUGGCUUUUCAAAUCAGAGAAUUUUUUUGCUUUUUAAAUGUGGGAAUUUUUUUCUCUCUUUCUUUUUCUCUUUUUCAAUUUGAGUUUUCUUUGUCAUUUGAGGGAGAUUUGAUAGUAUGGAUAAGAUUUGGAUUUUGAUAAUUUUGAAAGAUGAAGAUGAAGGAGUUUAGGAUGAAUUUCUUUUUGGGUUCUAAAUGUUGAUAUUUGAGUAUUUUUUUUGGACAUUAAUAAUGACUUGAAUAGAAAUUGAUUGAGAAAAAAUAUAAAUAAAGAUUUUGUUAGUAUUAUUAUAAGAGUUUAUAUUUGAUUACCGUCGAU
RNAcentral lists this long non-coding RNA (717 nucleotides) under Durio zibethinus. RNAcentral's name for it is "long non-coding RNA (DZIB_LNC000186)". The record is from RNAcentral. Lineage: Eukaryota; Viridiplantae; Streptophyta; Magnoliopsida; Malvales; Malvaceae.